GCAUACACACAGAGAGGCCAGAGGAGUAUGUAGAGUGUCUUCUAGUCCUUUGAGGAAGAGUCUCUCUCUGAACCUGGAGUUUGUGGUUUUUCCCAGCUAGACUGGCAGCCAGCAAGCUCCAGCGGUCCUGAGACUCCUGUCCUGAGUCCUGAGUCCCAGAGACUCCUGUCUCUGCCCCUCACGGCACUGGGGUUACAGGUGUGUGCAAGACCACACCCAACUUUUUAUAUGGGUAUCGGGGACUUGAACGCAGGCCCUCAUGGUUGCACAGCAAACACUCUUAACCACCGAUCUUUUUCUCCAGCCCUGCAAGAUUUGCUUUUGAAUAUCUUCAAGCUACUGUUGGCUGAAUCUACACUGUGUAGCCCACAGAUCCAGGGGGCUGACAAUUUCUUCAAGAACGGUUCACUGAGGGAAGGCAGAGGGAAAGAACGGGGAGCCAGUGGAGAAUAAGGGGUAACUGGACGUGGAUGGGAGGAAGGGAAGGAUGAAGGGCUGUGCAAAACACGUCAGUGAGUGGCAUCCAGCCAGCCUCUAGCCUGCAAAAUCUUCCCAGCUCCACAUGUGGGUGCCAGACCUCUCAGGACUCGCCCCUCCGCACCUCACCAGCCUUCUUGCCUGCUUUUAGCUCUCCAUGAGAGCUGGCCUAGUGACCCAGAGGGCCCUCCACCUGGGACUCUGCCCACCAUGUCACCUGGCAGGCUCCUGAUAGCUUAGGUCAUUGAGGUAGAAGUGAGGGAAGGG
Long non-coding RNA from Nannospalax galili (Upper Galilee mountains blind mole rat), 744 nucleotides. RefSeq lists it as uncharacterized. The record is from RefSeq and is a predicted model, not a curated record. NCBI's taxonomy places the organism in Eukaryota, Metazoa, Chordata, Mammalia, Rodentia, Spalacidae. The transcript is spliced from 2 exons.